RNAcentral lists this ribosomal RNA (405 nucleotides) under uncultured bacterium. Its description in RNAcentral is "partial 16S ribosomal RNA". It matches the Rfam family "Bacterial small subunit ribosomal RNA", at positions 28 to 526 of the family's 1533-position model. The record is from RNAcentral.
GAUGAACGCUGGCGGCGUGCCUAAUACAUGCAAGUCGAGCGAAGCGAGGACGGGGGAGAAACACGCGGCGAACCUCCUAUAUUAAUGGGAUAACUUCGGGAAACCGGAGCUAAACCGGAUACCUAUGGAUGGAUCCGCGCUGCAUUAGCUAGUUGGUAAGGUAACGGCUUACCAAGGCAACGAGGCAUAGCCGACCAGAGAGGUUGAACCGGCGCCCUGGAACGAUGAGAAGGUGAAGACUCCUACGUGAGGCUGCAGUAGGGAAUCUUGGUCAUGGGACGCCAGCCUGACGCAGCCAUGCCGCGUGAGUGAUGAAGGUUUUGGGGCUGUAAAACUCUGUAUUAAGUGGAGCGGUACCGAAGCACUAAGCCACGGCUAACGACGUGCCAGCAGCCGCGGUAAUUC